AGUGAACGCUGGCGGCAGGCCUAACACAUGCAAGUCGAGCGGACGGACGGGAAUGGCUUCCCUCUAUGGGGGGAGAGGGGCAGGCGGGUGAGGAAUAUAUGUGACUUACCUUUUUGGCGGGGGUUAACGCGGGGAACCUGACCCUAUACCCGCAAAUGACCAACUUGGGAAGGCACGGGAGCUUAGGACGUUUCGCGUGUCAAUUAUCGGUUGAUGGAUUAGCUAGUUGGUGGGGUAAAGGCCCACCAAGGCGACGAUCCGUAGCUGGUCUGAGAGGAUGAUCAGCCACACUGGAACUGAGACACGGUCCAGACUCCUACGGGAGGCAGCAGUGGGGAAUAUUGGACAAUGGGCGAAAGUCUGAUCCAGCAAUGCCGCGUGGGUGAAGAAGGUCUUCGGAUUGUAAAGCCCUUUUGUUAGGGAAGAACAGGAGCAUGUGAAUACCACGGUGUUUUGACGGUACCCAAAGAAUAAGCACCGGCUAACUUCGUG
This 492-nucleotide ribosomal RNA is filed under the name uncultured bacterium. Its description in RNAcentral is "partial 16S ribosomal RNA". It matches the Rfam family "Bacterial small subunit ribosomal RNA", at positions 29 to 507 of the family's 1533-position model. The record is from RNAcentral.